This 300-nucleotide unclassified non-coding RNA is filed under the name plant metagenome. Its description in RNAcentral is "partial contains 5.8S ribosomal RNA, internal transcribed spacer 2, and large subunit ribosomal RNA". The stretch from base 1 to 99 matches the Rfam family "5.8S ribosomal RNA", at positions 56 to 154 of the family's 154-position model. The record is from RNAcentral.
CGAUCAGUAAUGUGAAUUGCAGAAUUCAGUGAAUCAUCGAAUCUUUGAACGCACAUUGCGCCCGCCAGUAUUCUGGCGGGCAUGCCUGUCCGAGCGUCAUUUCAACCAUCAAGCCCCCGGGCUUGUGUUGGGGACCUGCGGCUGCCCGCAGGCCCUGAAAACCAGUGGCGGGCUCGCUGUCACACCGAGCGUAGUAGCAAUCACCUCGCUCAGGGCGUGCUGCGGGUUCCGGCCGUUAAACAGCCUUACAAAACCCAAGGUUGACCUCGGAUCAGGUAGGAAGACCCGCUGAACUUAAGC